Molecule: ribosomal RNA, 427 nt
Filed under: uncultured bacterium
Lineage: Bacteria
Also listed under: 1 other name
Description: bacterial SSU rRNA
Rfam family: Bacterial small subunit ribosomal RNA
Source: RNAcentral
UGGGGAAUUUUGGACAAUGGGCGCAAGCCUGAUCCAGCCAUGCCGCGUGAGUGAAGAAGGCCUUCGGGUUGUAAAGCUCUUUCGGCGGGGAAGAAAUUGCACUCUCUAAUACAGGGUGUAGAUGACGGUACCCGCAUAAGAAGCACCGGCUAACUACGUGCCAGCAGCCGCGGUAAUACGUAGGGUGCGAGCGUUAAUCGGAAUUACUGGGCGUAAAGCGUGCGCAGGCGGUUGUGUAAGUCAGAUGUGAAAUCCCCGGGCUCAACCUGGGAACUGCAUUUGAGACUGCACGGCUAGAGUGUGACAGAGGGGGGUAGAAUUCCACGUGUAGCAGUGAAAUGCGUAGAGAUGUGGAGGAAUACCGAUGGCGAAGGCAGCCCCCUGGGUUACUACUGACGCUCAUGCACGAAAGCGUGGGGAGCAAACA